GACGAACGCUGGCGGCGUGCUUAACACAUGCAAGUCGAACGAUGAAGCCGGAGCUUGCUCUGGUGAAUUAGUGGCGAACGGGUGAGUAACACGUGAGUAACCCGCCCUUGACUCUGGGAUAACUGCUAGAAAUGGUAGCUAAUACCGGAUACGACCCUCGGAGGCAUCUUCAGGGGGUGGAAAGAAUUUCGGUCAAGGAUGGACUCGCGGCCUAUCAGCUAGUUGGUGAGGUAAUGGCUCACCAAGGCGACGACGGGUAGCCGGCCUGAGAGGGGGACCGGCCACACGGGGACUGAGACACGGCACAGACUCCUACGGGAGGCAGCAGUGGGGAAUAUUGCACAAUGGGCGCAAGCCUGAUGCAGCAACGCCGCGUGAGGGAUGACGGCCUUCGGGUUGUAAACCUCUUUUAGUAGGGAAGAAGCGAAAGUGACGGUACCUGCAGAAAAAGCACCGGCUAACUACGUGCCAGCAGCCGCCGUAA
Molecule: ribosomal RNA, 484 nt
Filed under: uncultured bacterium
Lineage: Bacteria
Description: partial 16S ribosomal RNA
Rfam family: Bacterial small subunit ribosomal RNA
Source: RNAcentral